Long non-coding RNA from Zalophus californianus (California sea lion), 1170 nucleotides. RefSeq lists it as uncharacterized. The transcript has 3 exons. The record is from RefSeq and is a predicted model, not a curated record. Lineage: Eukaryota; Metazoa; Chordata; Mammalia; Carnivora; Otariidae.
GCAUUCUGAUCUCUGCUGAGCUACCCCACUGGACUCAGAAGAGUCUGACCCACAUGUCACAUUUCAGCUGUUGGCUUGUUUGUUUUUAAUCUCAAUCUAGUUUAAUUGGAAUAAGUAUCUUAUUGUACUCUUCUUCAUGUACUUAUGUGAUAUGACAAAAUGACUACCUGAUGAGAUGAAGUGAGGUGAAUGACAUCGGCAUUGUGACACAGCGUUUGGCUUCUCUCGACCUUAACGAUAUAUCAGAAAGAGGAUCAUCUACUUCCGGAGCAUGGCUAACCACAGCUCAGCUCAAGACAUAGAACUCCUCCAGGACACACCUUCCUAGACACACUUCUUCUUCACCUUGAUGACAGUGUUUUACCCUGCCUCUUAUUCAAACAACUCUCUCAAUCAAUACAGGAGACCCAGUGCUAUUUUAAUAUUCCAGGACAGAUUUACGAGGGGCAGGGGAAGGUAACUCACCUCCCGUCAUGGCAGAAUGAUACAAAAGGGGGAUGUUCUCCAGAAUGUUCUGGGAGCAACUUCCCAUAGGGUAUUUUCAACUUUCUGGGGAAAAAAAAAAAGUCCUCAUGACUCAAAUCUGAUCAUACUUCCUUAUCGGUCAAUACCCUUUCCCCUCCUCACCUAAGCAACUCCUACUUAUUCUUCAAGUAUCAGUUCUGCCACAAAGUCAAUUCUAAUUUGCUUGGACAGUUCAAAUUCUCCUAUUAGAAGUUGUCAUUCCUCCAAUCUCCCCCAUCACAUCACAUGUUAGAAUUAUAAUUCUAUAUGUAUUAAUGUAAUUAAGGUCCAUUUACUCUACUUGACCCCUCUCUCCCUGUCUGUUUUUGUUCACUUUUGAAUCAUCAGAAGCAAGGUCACUUUCUAGCACAUGGUAGGUGCUAACAAAAUAUUUAAGUUUGUUGAAUGAAUAAAUGACUGUAAAGUUUACGUCCUUGAAUGAGCGAAGCAACCUCUUUCCCCUUAAGAUCUUACUGUUCUCUCAGUCUAGAAUAUCUUUCUCUUGAAAUGCAUAUCGUAGUCUUAACAAUUCCAUUAGCAGCAUUUGUCAAAUUAUUAAUGGAGGUCUUUCACCUAUUAUUAUAAUUCAGUAAGCCACUUCUUCCCCCCCCCCAUAGCUCUCAUACGUUCUUGCUUUUUGGUUGUUCCCCUCACCCCUCCAAAAGA